This 302-nucleotide unclassified non-coding RNA is filed under the name plant metagenome. RNAcentral's name for it is "partial contains 5.8S ribosomal RNA, internal transcribed spacer 2, and large subunit ribosomal RNA". The stretch from base 1 to 105 matches the Rfam family "5.8S ribosomal RNA", at positions 50 to 154 of the family's 154-position model. The record is from RNAcentral.
GAAAUGCGAUAAGUAGUGUGAAUUGCAGAAUUCAGUGAAUCAUCGAAUCUUUGAACGCACAUUGCGCCCUUUGGUAUUCCAAAGGGCAUGCCUGUUCGAGCGUCAUUUGUACCCUCAAGCUCUGCUUGGUGUUGGGCGUCUUUGUCUUCCCAGAAGACUCGCCUUAAAGUCAUUGGCAGCCGGUCUACUGGUUUCGGAGCGCAGCACAAGUCGCGCUCUCUUCCAGCCAAGGUCAGCGUCCACAAAGCCUUUUUUUCAACUUUUGACCUCGGAUCAGGUAGGGAUACCCGCUGAACUUAAGC